Molecule: non-coding RNA, 119 nt
Organism: Ciona savignyi (Pacific transparent sea squirt)
Lineage: Eukaryota; Metazoa; Chordata; Ascidiacea; Phlebobranchia; Cionidae
Source: Rfam
GCUUAUCACCAUUCCAGAUUGAAUAUAGCCGAUCUCGUCUGAUCUCGGAAGUCAAGCAAUCUCGGGCUUGGAUAGUACUUGGAUGGGUGACCGCUUGGGAAUACCAAGUGUGAUAAGCA